UACUUGCCUAAAAACCAAACUUUUUCAC
Molecule: small RNA, 28 nt
Filed under: Bombyx mori (domestic silkworm)
Lineage: Eukaryota; Metazoa; Arthropoda; Insecta; Lepidoptera; Bombycidae
Description: ovarian small RNA-21656
Source: RNAcentral